Hordeum vulgare subsp. vulgare (domesticated barley) is the source of this 692-nucleotide long non-coding RNA. RefSeq lists it as uncharacterized. Lineage: Eukaryota; Viridiplantae; Streptophyta; Magnoliopsida; Poales; Poaceae. The record is from RefSeq and is a predicted model, not a curated record. The transcript has 2 exons.
CGGAGUCCAGAACCCACUUCAACAUCCUUGCCGGGUCGCCGCCAACGCCCCCUGCCCACCCCCUGCCUCGUGGUCGUCUGCUCCUCCACCAUGCCAUGUCCUCAAUCACUCUAGAGCUCUCUAUCAAGACAUUGUCACCACCUCGCUGAAGUGGAUGGUGGCCUGCUCCAAAUCGCAGGGGCACAAAGCUGGAGGUCGGCAGCCGGUCGCCGAUUGGCCGUCAGAACUGGCAAGCGGGGUAGCCGUCUACUCCACCUAGCCGUCAAAUUGAUGGACACAAGUCCCUGCGUUCGGAAGUUAACUUCACUAAGAUGCAAGCUCGAGGAAUCACAUGCAUUUUCAUACUGGAGGAAGCUCACCGUGUGCCUUUAAUGCAUUUCCAUGAACUUCUAAUUUCUGUUUCUAGAAAACCAACAAGUGGAGCAAACUGUGUAUUCUAUCAGCCACAUAGAGAAGUACAUUUAGUCUUUCUAGGUACUGCACCAAAAUUGCUCCCUUUUGCAACUUCAUCUCUAUUUUGAGUGCUAAUACAAAUGGUGUAGCCCAAUCUUGAGUUUCUGCAUCUCUGCUUUAGGUUCCCCUUUCAGUGAUUAACCUUGAGCUUGUCAUCGUAUGGAGGUAGAAAUUAAGUUACUUCUCGAAGUGCUGGUUACUUUUCUAAUUCAAUAAUAUCGAUCGUGCAUUUGGAAGCA